This 817-nucleotide long non-coding RNA is filed under the name Ananas comosus (pineapple). Its description in RNAcentral is "long non-coding RNA (ACOM_LNC012494)". Lineage: Eukaryota; Viridiplantae; Streptophyta; Magnoliopsida; Poales; Bromeliaceae. The record is from RNAcentral.
AUAGUAUAAAAAAUUUUAUUUUAUAUCGUAUAAAAAAUUUUCUAUCAAAAUUUCACGUGAUUUGAAUAUUUUUACACCGUUAAACUUGUAAACGGCUCACCACGGUCAUUAAAAUUAUUGAUUUUGAGCUCCUUUGAUCACUAGGCAAAUGAUAUCGAAAAAUCACAAAAUUUAUUUUCUAGGUACUUCAAAUACUCUAGAUCAAGUUUAAUGAAGCCGAUCGUCGAUUCAAAAAUUCCAAGAUUAAAAACGACUUGAAAGCACGGAAGACUCCGUGCUUUUGGAAGUAUAUCAGCUCAUUCAAAAUAUAAUAUAAUAGACUAUAAUUAAGCCAAAAAGUUUUAUUAUUUCGAGGCCAAGCAUUUCCGGAUGGAAUGUCACAUUGAAUGUCACGCAAUAAAGAAUAAUAAAUAAAAGAAAAAACUUCAAAAACCCCCCUGUGGUUUCAUACUUUUUCAUUUUAGUACCCUAUAGUUUAAAGUGUAUCAAAUUAGUACUUGUGAUUUCUCACUUUAUCACUUUAGUACCCUGUGGUUUAAAGUGUAUCAAGUUAGUACUCUAUGAUUUUAUUUUUGUAUCAAAUUAGUACCAUGUGGUUUUAUUUUUGUAUCAAGUUAGUACCCUGUGAUUUUUAAACCACAGGGUACUAGAGUGAUAAAGUGUGAAACCACAGGGUACUAAAGUGAUAAAGUGCAAAAUCACAGGGUACUAACUUGAUACACUUUAAACCACAUGAUACUAAAGUGAUAAAAUGAGAAACCACAGGGAACUAACUUGAUACAUUUUAAACCACAGGUUACUAAAGUGAAAAAAAAAA